CUCUGUGACUAUCUUAUUGAUGAGUCUGUGUUUGUCUUUGGGAAUUGUGACUUUGUGUGACUCUAUUAUAUAGAUAAGAGAGAGAGUAGAGAAAAUAUCAGUGUUUGACUGUUUGUUGUGUGGUAGUUGGGAAAUAAAAUAGGGACAAGUUACAGGCUCACAGCAAAAGGAAAACUUCAUUUUUGGUUAUUGUUAUCACAUUGUUAGUUUUUGGAAUAGAGUUACUAGAUUGGAGUUGGUAUUAAGUUCAUCUUGUUAUCAUUGGUUCUUUUUAGUUGCCCGCUUUAUGUUUUCUAAUAUGAAAAACUCUUUGAGUACUGAUCUUAGAAGCAAACCCUGAGUUCUUAGUCAUGUGGCUUAAUGGUUAGAAAUUUUCUGUUCUAGGUUCUGUUUCUAUUUAUUUUUUUCUUUUUUCAGCUGCUAACCAGAACAAUAUGUUUUAUGGAACUAUGACAUGAACAUUUGAGGUAAUUGAUGUAGUCACUUCCUUUUUGCUUGUCUAAUGUUUUAUGUUUUUCAUUUCAGCUAGUGCUUAUAUACCUGGAGCACUAGAUUUGAUGACUGACUUACUUCACAACCUCCAAUAUAAGACUAUGGAUCUAAUGUUUUAUCAUAUUCUUGUUUAUUUAGCAGCUGUUUCAGCAAAACCCACUUUUAAGCACAUUCCUAAGGUAUGCUGUUACAGUGUAGUGUUAAUAUGUUUGGAUAUAUCAGUCAAGGGGUUUAAUAGGUUUGUGUUUUUAUUCUUUCGUUGUUUGGUAGAUAUGUCAUGUAAUUGGGCUCUGGCUGUUUUGAGGCAAGUUUUACCCCCUUGAGCAUUUUGGACAGUGUAUUUUGAUAUUCUAAUUCUGUAUUCCAGGACUAGUAUUUUUAUAUCUAUAUAGGGAUCAUUAUUUGAGUAUCUGGGUAAAUUUAUUACUUAUAGUCUUAUAUACUUGGAUGAAACAUUUGGAUCAAAAUAUUUUUGAUUUAGAAAAUGAAUUUUUUAUUUGGUUUUUCAAUUACAAUUAAUUGGUUGACCACUGUAGAAUUUUUUUGGAUUGCAAGUACAUGACUGGGAAGCUGCUUUUGAAGUUGGAUACUGUUAAAUUCAUGGGGGAGCAAUUGCAUUUUUAGAAGAAUAUAGAUGCUCUCCAAGCAGAACAACUUUCCAUUAUACUAUUGGCUAGUUAAAUUUUAUGGAGCACAACCCCGUGAAAUUUAAGUCAUCAAUGGAUCCACUUUUGCAAGUACUCACCUCUCUCUCUCUGUCUGUUUCCAACAUGUGUCUUUAAGAGGAUUCUGUCCUGAUAGUGUAUAUGGUACGUUUAAAUUGACGCUUCAGUUUACAGAGGAUUAUCCAAACAAGCCACCGUGUGCUUUGUCUCUAGAAUGUUCCAUCCAAAUAUUUAUGCAGAUGGAAGCAUAUGUUUGGACAUUCUACAAAAUCAAUGGAGCCCUAUAUACGAUGUUGCAGCUAUAAUGGGUCAUAUGUUGUGUUUGGAGAAUGAUGACCUUUGGAGAAGGGUCAUUGAGGCAAAGUAUGGGAAUGGGGAUGGCUGGUGUACAAAUCUGUGAUGGGGCUAGCUUGACAUCUCUCUAGUCUGUUGGUUCAAAGAAAGGGAAAAUAAUAACCUGUGUACUCAUUUUUUUUUCGGAUUAUGUUAUUUUACACUACCUAAUAGCAGCAAUGACAGCAAUGGCAACCCAACCUAGUGGCUAAUCAGCUCACAUCAAACAUUUUCCAUAAGCCAUUAAUCUGUAGAACCUUUUUAUACUGUCGGUGCCACUCUGUGAAGUAUGGAUGUGGCAUAAACAGCCCAAAAGUUUUGGCUCUUUUAUUAUAUUGUUAAUUUUGCUAAACAAUGAGAUAGAAAAAUGAAAUUUUCAGGUCAAGAAAA
Molecule: long non-coding RNA, 1880 nt
Organism: Quercus robur (English oak)
Lineage: Eukaryota; Viridiplantae; Streptophyta; Magnoliopsida; Fagales; Fagaceae
Exons: 4
Source: RefSeq, a predicted model, not a curated record